AAAAAUGAAUCUUCUUUCAAUUAGAAAUUCACACAAAAGUGAAGGAGGUUGUUAGCAUUGUACAGAAAACUACAUGUACACAGCCCGCGUUAUCAAGGGAUGUGUGAGUUACCAUGGUAUUUUCAACUACAUUUACCUAAGGUAAAGUCUGAGGUCAGCGCACUCAAGUCCUCUGGGUUAGUGCUGUCAAUGUAGUGUGAUUUUGAUUGAUCUAAACGUAACGAUCAAUCUCGUUUCUCGCAUCGCGCUGUUUUCUCAUUAAGUAUGGUGUCCGGAUUGGACCACUUGCGUUAGCGCACCAUCGCGUUCAGAUACAUGUAAACCAAUACCUUCAUUUAUUCGGUUCUCUUCGGUUAUUAUAUUUUUUACGAAACAAUUAUCAUUUUUUCACAGGAAUAGCUAUAUUUCCCUUAUUGAGCAUCCAGGCUUUACUCUAGAAUAUCGUGUAACACUAGUCUACGUGUACCUUAAUUAAAGCUAUUUCUAUCAAUAUUGAACACUGUUCACCCAGGGUAUAUAAAGUCUUACCUGACCAAACUUCGAGUCUUUCGUGUAAAAUGCCAACUGUAGUGGGUCAUUCAGGCAGUGUAUGACAGAACUCUUUACUGCGCUGCAGUACCAUUUCUUUUCGAAAGUUGAAAAAAAUUCGGGUGUUCGUGAAAACUCCCUUUCAUAUAUGGUAGAAUGCCAAACAGCUCAGAAACAGCCAGCUGACUCCAUAUCAGAAAAUGAAAAUGUUACACAGGUAAAAUUGCAACAUAUGUUCAACAUAUGUUUCGAGUAACAUAUGUUGAACAUACGUUGAACAUACCUACGUUAAACAUAUGAAUUUUUCACAGUAUGUUGAACAUAUGUUUGAAAAAUAUUGUUAACAUAUGUUUGAAAAAUACGUUAAACAUAUUCCAGACUCAAAACAUAUGUUGAACAUAUAUUUGUAGUAAUCAUAUGUUCAACGUAUGUUUAACAUAUUUUGAACAUAUGUUUGUUUAAAACAUAUGAUCAGCAUAUGUUUUCAAUUUGCGUUAUGUUGAUUUGACAUGUUUGUUAGCUAUUUAAUUUUUAUAUGUAGUUAUGAAUACGUGUAUAAACAAAUUAUAUAAUCAACAUUAGCCAUGCAUUUUUUUCAUAUGAAGUGUUUCGUUAACAAAUCCGUAUUUAAGCCUGAAUCGGUUUUAAAUUUAGUGUUCAUAAACAUACGUCAUAUUUUACGUCACGGAGGCAGAAGAUCAAUCUGCAGGAUGGAUUUUAACUUGUAUUUAUAAGGAAUGCAGUGACUAGUGGACACAUCACAGAUGGCAUCAAAUAACACAGUGUCGGAGAUUUUGAAGAAUAAAUGGAUGUAGUAGUGCAGAGGUUUGUAAGAUUUCUUGGAUGCAGUCUGAAGACGAUGAAGUGAUGAAAGAUCCAGGAUAUUCUUCCUGAGCUCAAAGAUAUCUGCACAACAUUUGCUAUACAAGUUAUGACAGAAGUUUAGACUUGACUUGUCAAAUGAUAAACAACACAUCGAAAAAGAAGUUGGGCAAAAAGUGGGAUUAAUGAAUUAGAGAAACAAUUAAAGCUGCAGUGAGUGAGAACCAUUUACAGGAGAAUAACAAACUUGACUAUAUGAUAUUUGCAACAAUAAAAAUUACAUG
This is a long non-coding RNA of Magallana angulata, 1634 nucleotides long. RefSeq lists it as uncharacterized. The record is from RefSeq and is a predicted model, not a curated record. Lineage: Eukaryota; Metazoa; Mollusca; Bivalvia; Ostreida; Ostreidae. The transcript is spliced from 5 exons.